Mycena maculata is the source of this 93-nucleotide non-coding RNA. NCBI's taxonomy places the organism in Eukaryota, Fungi, Basidiomycota, Agaricomycetes, Agaricales, Mycenaceae. The record is from the annotation of a GenBank genome assembly.
GGCCGUCUAGCUCAGUUGGUUAGAGCGUCGUGCUAAUACGGGCAUAAAGCCUCGGAUACGCGAAGGUCUUGGGUUCGAUCCCCACGAUGGCCA